This 2329-nucleotide ribosomal RNA is filed under the name Triticum aestivum (bread wheat). Its description in RNAcentral is "partial small subunit ribosomal RNA". The record is from RNAcentral. Lineage: Eukaryota; Viridiplantae; Streptophyta; Magnoliopsida; Poales; Poaceae.
UACUCGACGACGGACCGCCUUCGGGGGCGUUCGUCCCCUAAAGACGGAGAGUUGAGAGAGAGAGAGAGAGAGAGUCGUUCAUUUGAGCAUAAGUUUGGACUCCCGGCGUCCGAGCGAGGCCUCAGCCCUAGCCCCUACCCCCCGACGAAGAGGCCGCUGCACGCGCCGCCGUGCCUCCGGUAGCCGCCCCCGCGCUCGCCCCGCCGCCGCCCCGUCCCGGUCCCGCCCGGGUUGCUCCGCGAGCUGGUGAAGGAGGUCCCGGUGCCCGACGCGCCGGAGAUGUGGGGAGAGCUCGAUAGAAAAAGUCGAAGGUUCAACUCUCUAUACCUACGAGAAAGAUUCUCACUAGGAUACAACCACCAAAUGUGUUUUUACCUACCUUCCGAUCUUCUCUAACCGGCGUGACUUCACUAUAACUUAAGUGACUUUGGUAACACCUAGUGUUUUUGAUACUAUUUAAUGGUUAAACUCUAACACGUUGGGGAGCAUAAGUCCUAUAUACUGUAACUGUGUUUCAUGGUAUUGUGUGGUCACUUCUACAACUUGAACCGAGUCGUUCUAAAAGAUCCCCUUCGUAAGACGUUAAAUAGGCUCUAUCAGUGUUUCAAGUUGGUAUCGGAUUGAAACUUGGAAGCUUUACCAAGACCUGUACGGGAAGUCCCGUGUUACUAUCAUGUGCGACUUCUUUGACGAAGUAGUUCCUACCGUCAACUCUACUGUAAGGUGACGGACUUGGAACUAUUGUUCCUGUGGAAGAGGUUUUCACUAGGGAAGAACUCUCAUAGUUCUGACAGUCUUUCACGACAACGGUAAGGAUAUACAUUUUGUCUUCACUAGUUAUUGUUGAAUUUGGGACAAACCUCCGGAUAUUGUGACUGUAGUGUUGUUAUGUCAUCGUCCCUACUGGGUGACGAUCAACUCACAAAACUAAAACUACGGUCACCGCUGGUACUUGAAUACCCCCGAGAGGUCUGUUGAUAGCGAGUCGAACUUUUAGAUAUAUUCAGUUUCCGACCUCGUUUAAAAAUGUCGGCAUUCCCUGUUUUCUUCAACUUUCCUGUCAACAAGAACCUAUGCAAGGUCCUUUUUCAAGUUGUAUGAAAGAACCUGAUAUAAAGGUCGCCCAAACUCGAGUUAAAAUACCAUCGACAUCUAAAAUGACGUAGUUUACCGCUGGGAGCAUGUGGUGUUAGAAACGUGAUGUAACUGGGGAGACCGUCUGAUUUGAGUAUGGUCGUCCGUUAAGAUCCCCAUUCGCUUCAAGACGUCAAAAUACUGUUUCUAUCUGCUAAAGGACGUACCCCAAAACCACGUUCCUGUGGUGUUCCUAGACAUAGGGUGACAAAGUUGAACUUACGUUCAUGGUUACUGACACUCCAACAACCUAAACUUCCGUAGUACAGUCGUAUGAGAAGAUGAGACAUGUCACAAAGAGACAGUCCCGGUUGGAACAAACCCGGGCACUAGUUGUUUCGACGUCUUUAACGGUCGGUAAGACGCGUUAUGCCCUUGUUGUCUAUAAAACAGGACGAGUAAUAGUGCCUACCUCAAUAGUGGCUGCUCGUUCUUUGUUUCCUAAGAUAACAUUCCCGUAGUCUAAACGGCAACAGCUAAGAGUAGCACCCUCAGCCCCCACGACUGAAGUGAGUUUACUCCUGAGACCUACGCCUGAACCCAUUCGCGGAAGUUUCGAGCUGUCCGUCCCACCGCUGCGCACUGUAGCAGGUCAAACAGGGGUACUCCCUUCAGGUUCCACCCGUCCAGUGGCAACAGGUCUCGGACGACCUCCUCGACGGACCCGUCAAGGACCUUAUGUACGCGUGGGCCCCGUAGUACGGCGCUGGUGGGGUCGUGCGGAGCCGCGGCGGUCGCAUGGGGGGAGGGGGAGGGGUCGACACUUCCUUGGGGCGGCCUGGACGGUGGGGUGUGCUCGACCAGACGCGCAUGUAUGGUCGACCGUUAACAUCUAAGAUGGCAGAGAGACAGACUGAUUGAGGACAGCGCAGACGUGAGAUGUAGGUUGUAAUCCAUGACUUGGGGCAACCAGCUAUUGAAAAGGUGGGUCCAUAUCCUGCAGCGACGUUUGUGAUGCAUACUUUUUACACUAUGGAGCACAAAAAAAGAAAAAACGUGACUUGACGACGAUAUAUAGUAUACAACCAGUGAAACAGUGGCUGUUCCUCAAUAGAGGAUCCGCUGGGUAGAACAGUAACACAUGUAAAUGAACUCCAAAACAAAUAGCAAUAGCAGGUACAGUACGUUAAGAACCCCGCCGAUAGCCCCCAACGGACAACGACCUCUGCCACCUCUUUUAAACGCCUACCGAACC